Arachis ipaensis is the source of this 458-nucleotide non-coding RNA. Lineage: Eukaryota; Viridiplantae; Streptophyta; Magnoliopsida; Fabales; Fabaceae. The record is from RefSeq and is a predicted model, not a curated record.
CGUGAACUCGUGAAGUAUACAGGGAGAGAAAUUAAAGGAACGCCGAAAACCCUCGGAAAAAUUCAAUUCACCAUAGCUUCUCCGUCCGAGCUCCGAUCGCUGUAUCGUUUGCGACCACGCGUCCACCGCAUCAAGCUCUACGUUUCUACCGGAACGAUUUCAUAGGAUCCAAUUAACUUGAGAAAAACGUUCACUCUUACUUAUGUGAAGCUUGGGUAAGGUUGUGAAUAAAUAAUUAGAGUUUGAAAUUGUGAAUAUUGGAACUUGGAGGAAGCUGAGCUUAGAAUUUGUUGAAUUUUGAGGGGCUGCCUUGAUUUUGAAUAAAUCGUUUUGGUCGUUACAUGGAAAUCGGCCAAGAUGCAGGUUGAGAGGCAUCUCAUUAGGCAUCUGGAUACCUGAAGCGAAGUAGUUACUGGGCUAUUUGUUGUACAGUUGAUGUAUAUAUAUGUACUCUUUUU